RNAcentral lists this ribosomal RNA (427 nucleotides) under Aplanochytrium stocchinoi. RNAcentral's name for it is "partial Eukaryotic large subunit ribosomal RNA". It matches the Rfam family "Eukaryotic large subunit ribosomal RNA", at positions 16 to 436 of the family's 3401-position model. Lineage: Eukaryota; Bigyra; Thraustochytrida; Thraustochytriidae. The record is from RNAcentral.
UAGGACUACCCGCUGAACUUAAGCAUAUCAAUAAGCGGAGGAAAAGAAACUAACAAGGAUUCCCCUAGUAACGGCGAGUGAAGCGGGAUGAGCUCAAAUUUAAAAUCUGGCGGUCUCAGAUCGUCCGAGUUGUAGUCUAGAGAAGCGUUUUCCGUGCUGGCCUGUGUACAAGUCCGUUGGAACACGGCGUCAUAGAGGGUGAGAAUCCCGUCCUUGACACAGAUCUCCAGUGCUUUGUGAUGCGCUCUCAAAGAGUCGAGUUGUUUGGGAAUGCAGCUCAAAAUGGGUGGUAAAUUCCAUCUAAAGCUAAAUAUUGGCGAGAAACCGAUAGCGAACAAGUACCGUGAGGGAAAGAUGAAAAGCACUUUGGAAAGAGAGUUAAACAGUACGUGAAAUUGUUGAAAGGGAAACGAUUGAAGUCAGUCAU